Molecule: long non-coding RNA, 1139 nt
Filed under: Chinchilla lanigera (long-tailed chinchilla)
Lineage: Eukaryota; Metazoa; Chordata; Mammalia; Rodentia; Chinchillidae
Description: lncRNA (ENSCLAG00000022323.1)
Source: RNAcentral
CUUUCAGAAUUUUAUUAGACAUUUUAAACAAUAUCGCAGCUCAUUAACACUGAAUGGGAACUGUUAAAGUAGGUCCUUUUCUAAAACAAAAUAAAUAGCAAUAGAAGCAGGAAAAUACCAGAGGGCAUUUGGACUUUUGUUUACUGCAGAAUCAUGGCCUGGGAAAGGAGGGCGGGGCUGCAAGGGAUGGAAAAGGAGGUUUUCCUAAAAGUAGUUUAGAGGAGGUAGAGUCGCAUAGGUGAGUUGUGGUAUAGCCCCCAGCAUAGUGCCUGUGCCACAGGAUGCUACGCGGAUUUUAGCAGAGCACGAGAACUGGCCCCUCUGCCUGACCCCACUCUGCCUCCCUGAGCCCACAGCUCAGCAGCAGUUGCUACAGCAACUUUGGAACAGUGGCUCUAAAUUGUCAAAUUAAAGAACUCUGAGCUAGGUCAGCCUGAUUCCUUAUACUAAGUACACAUUGAGAGUGAAAGAGAAGGAACUUCGGAGUCAUCCUCCACUCUAUACUAGUUGUAUGAUUCUAUGCAAGUAACUUUACCUCUCUAAACCUUUAUAAAGUGGAAAUAAUACUGCUCAUCUUACACAGUGGAUAUUAAUAGUUACGCAGAGUGUUGGCUGGAGAGCUGUACAUGGGAAGGAGGGAGGCAGAGCAGAUGAAGGAGGAAGGAAAGAAGAAAAUAUCUACCUGAAGGGAAGAAGAAAGAAAAGAAAGGAUGGAGGAAGAAAGAAAAGCUUUCUGAAACCUCAAUAGCAACAAUGAAAAAGUUGUUUGGAAAUAUGUACAGCUUUGAUACAGUUUCACAGCCUUCUGGACCCUGCAGCCACUUGGGCAAGUACCGCCAACUUCCGGAGCAUUUGAGAGACUACAAGAUCGAAAUCAGGUUUACAUGGAAUCUGCAGUCACAGUCACCUUGGAACAGCCAGGACCAGCCCACAGUGACCGUGUCCUGUCAUUUUCUAAAGUGUUCUGCACAGCACAAAUUGCUGAUUCCAAACUGGAGGAAACUGCAGCAUAUGACUUCCCUGUGGAGCUACCCUUGUGGAUGAAAAGGGGCUGGAGAUGCCUGCAGGGAAUCCAAGCGAUUUCUAUUAUAGGGCAUCAUUUUCCACUGACUGUGACCUGUGAGAAAUUUGUGGUUUUC